This 119-nucleotide ribosomal RNA is filed under the name Schistocerca americana (American grasshopper). The record is from RNAcentral. Lineage: Eukaryota; Metazoa; Arthropoda; Insecta; Orthoptera; Acrididae.
GCCAACGGCCAUACCUUGUUGAGUACACCGGUUCUCGUCCGAUCACCGAAGUUAAGCAACAUCGGGCGUGGUUAGUACUUGGAUGGGUGACCACCUGGGAACACCACGUGCUGUUGGCU